AUUGAACGCUGGCGGAAUGCUUUACACAUGCAAGUCGAACGGCAGCACGGACUUCGGUCUGGUGGCGAGUGGCGAACGGGUGAGUAAUGUAUCGGAACGUGCCCAGUCGUGGGGGAUAACGUAGUGAAAAUUACGCUAAUACCGCAUACGAUCUAUGGAUGAAAGCGGGGGAUCGCAAGACCUCGCGCGAUUGGAGCGGCCGAUAUCAGAUUAGGUAGUUGGUGGGGUAAAGGCCCACCAAGCCAACGAUCUGUAGCUGGUCUGAGAGGACGACCAGCCACACUGGAACUGAGACACGGACCAGACUCCUACGGGAGGCAGCAGUGGGGAAUUUUGGACAAUGGGCGAAAGCCUGAUUCAGCCAUUCCGCGUGCAGGAUGAAGGCCCUCGGGUUGUAAACUGCUUUUGUACAGAACGAAAAGGUCUCUACUAAUACUAGGAGCUCAUGACGGUACUGUAAGAAUAAGCACCGGCUAACUACGUGCCAGCCGCCGCAGUAA
This 500-nucleotide ribosomal RNA is filed under the name uncultured bacterium. RNAcentral describes it as "partial 16S ribosomal RNA". It matches the Rfam family "Bacterial small subunit ribosomal RNA", at positions 30 to 523 of the family's 1533-position model. The record is from RNAcentral.